Molecule: ribosomal RNA, 753 nt
Filed under: uncultured Glomus
Lineage: Eukaryota; Fungi; Glomeromycota; Glomeromycetes; Glomerales; Glomeraceae
Description: SSU rRNA
Rfam family: Eukaryotic small subunit ribosomal RNA
Source: RNAcentral
GGCCUACCAUGGUGGUAACGGGUAACGGGGUGUUAGGGCACGACACCGGAGAGGGAGCCUGAGAAACGGCUACCACAUCCAAGGAUGGCAGCAGGCGCGCAAAUUACCCAAUCCCGACACGGGGAGGUAGUGACAAUAAAUAACAAUACGGGGUUCUUUCGGAUCUUGUAAUUGGAAUGAGUACAAUUUAAAUCUCUUAACGAGGAACAAUUGGAGGGCAAGUCUGGUGCCAGCAGCCGCGGUAAUUCCAGCUCCAAUAGCGUAUAUUAAAGUUGUUGCAGUUAAAAAGCUCGUAGUUGAAUUUCGGGAUCAAUUUGCUGGUCGUGCCUUCGGUACGCACUGGUAUUAUUGGUUUCUCCUUUCUGAUGAAUCGCGAUGUCAUUAAUUUGGUGUCGUGGGGAAUCAGGACCGUUACUUUGAAAAAAUUAGAGUGUUUAAAGCAGGCUCACGCUUGAAUACAUUAGCAUGGAAUAAUGAAAUAGGACGUUUGAUUCUAUUUUGUUGGUUUCUAGGAUCGACGUAAUGAUUAAUAGGGAUAGUUGGGGGCAUUAGUAUUCAAUUGUCAGAGGUGAAAUUCUUGGAUUUAUUGAAGACUAACUACUGCGAAAGCAUUUGCCAAGGAUGUUUUCAUUAAUCAAGAACGAAAGUUAGGGGAUCGAAGACGAUCAGAUACCGUCGUAGUCUUAACCAUAAACUAUGCCGACUAGGGAUCGGAUGAUGUUAAUUUUUUAAUGACUCAUUCGGCGCCUUACG